AGCGAACGCUGGCGGCAGGCCUAACACAUGCAAGUCGAACGAAGUCUUCGGACUUAGUGGCCGACGGGUGAGUAACAAGUGGGAACGUACAUUUUGGUUCGGAAUAACUGAGGGAUAAUUCAGCUAAUACCGGAUAAGCUCUUCGGAGGCAAGAUUAACCGCCAUUAGGGCGGACCGCGUUGGAUUAGGUAGUUGGUGUGGUAAAGGCGCACCAAGCCUACGAUCCAUAGCUGGUCUGAGAGGAUGGUCAGCCACACUGGGACGGAGACACGGCCCAGACUCCUACGGGAGGCAGCAGUGGGGAAUCUUGCGCAAUGGUCGAAAGACUGACGCAGCCAUGCCGCGUGAAUGAUGAAGGUCUUAGGAUUGUAAAAUUCUUUUAGCAGGGACGAUAAUGACGGUACCUGCAGAAAAAGCCCUGGCUAACUUCGUGCCAGCCGCCGCCGUAA
RNAcentral lists this ribosomal RNA (449 nucleotides) under uncultured bacterium. Its description in RNAcentral is "partial 16S ribosomal RNA". It matches the Rfam family "Bacterial small subunit ribosomal RNA", at positions 29 to 523 of the family's 1533-position model. The record is from RNAcentral.